CCAGAGAUGGCGGGCUUCGGCCCCCGUCCCCAACCCCUUGCCGAUUGAACAAAACCUUUGCCUCGGGGGCAGAGCGGCCGUCCCACGACGGGCGCCGCCCCCGGAGGACCACCAAACGCUGUCUCUGUACGUACGAGUCAAUGAUUAAUAAAUCA
Molecule: unclassified non-coding RNA, 155 nt
Filed under: soil metagenome
Description: partial internal transcribed spacer 1
Source: RNAcentral